UGGGGAAUUUUGCACAAUGGGGGAAACCCUGAUGCAGCGACGCCGCGUGAUUUAGAAGGCCUUCGGGUUGUAAAAAUCUUUUCUAUGGGAAGAAAAUGACAGUACCAUAGGAAUAAGGACCGGCUAAUUACGUGCCAGCAGCCGCGGUAAUACGUAAGGUCCGAGCGUUGUCCGGAAUCAUUGGGCGUAAAGGGUACGUAGGCGGGUAAGCAAGUUAGAAGUGAAAUCCUAUAGCUCAACUAUAGUAAGCUUUUAAAACUGCUCAUCUUGAGGUAUGGAAGGGAAAGUGGAAGUCCUAGUGUAGCGGCGAAAUGCGCAGAUAUUAGGAGGAAUACCGGUGGCGAAUGCGACUUUCUGGCCAUAACCUGACGCUGAGGUACGAAAGCGUGGGUAGCAAACAGG
This 402-nucleotide ribosomal RNA is filed under the name bacterium. Its description in RNAcentral is "partial 16S ribosomal RNA". It matches the Rfam family "Bacterial small subunit ribosomal RNA", at positions 355 to 776 of the family's 1533-position model. The record is from RNAcentral.